UUUUUUUUUUUUUUUUUUUUUUUUUUUUUUGUAGAAACAGGGUCUCAUUUUAUUGCCCAGGCUGGUCUUGAACUCCUGGUUUCAAGUGAUCCUCCCGUCUUGGCCUUCCAAAGUAUUGAGAUUACAGAGGUGAGCCACUGCACCUAGCCUGUUUAUUCAAAAAGUUCAUGUAAACAUGGCAUUCCAUUCUGUCAUAUGUCAUUGUUUUCAUAGAAGGGUAAUUUGCCAAGUCAUAUUACCAUUCACCCUCCCUAAGUUAAACCAGCACUCUAGGAAGAUGUCUACAUUUGCCCUUGGGUUUUUAUGCUUCAAUCUCCUCACCCCCAGCCUGUGUACUUGAGGUUAAGAAGUCACGUUAGUCAUUCUUUCAGUGAAGUCCGUUACCUAGUGCUCCUAAAUGAACAGAAUAGGAAAGUUGUCCUUUUCUUAAGGACAACUCCUUCAUGCUCCUCCUUCGAGCUCCUUCAUGCUCGCCUUUUUGUUAUCUUCAUGAUAGGAUCACAUUUGAGAUGAGCAUUAUUGCCUUGAUUAUGUCUUCUGAUCAUCUUAGUGAAUGUAAAAUCCUGACUUAUACUCUAGUAUUUGAAUAUAGGAUAUAAUUCCUAAGACAAAGAAUACUUAGGCAUCCGGAAGUUUCUGAAGCAUUAGGAAAUAGAUUUAUAUCCUGGAUUUUCUUUAUAAAAUGAAUAAAUGUAAGUUCUUGAUGUAGUUAUUUGUAAACAUUUAGAAAAUAGAAAUACAAAGAAAAAAACAAUGGUAAUCCAUCACUCAGACAAAAAUCACUAUUAACAUAUUUUUAGGCAUUUCCUUUCAGAUUUUUUUCUAUUUAAAUACAUGAGUGUGAAUUUCUGUGGGUGUCUAUAGACAUGUCUGUGGAUAUUACAAAAUUGGAAUCAUGUUCUAUAUUCAGGUUUGUAUCCUUAUUUGAUAUUCUGUGCACAUUCUUUGAUGUCAUGAAAUAUUCUUCAGUUGUGCUAAAAAUACUCUCAAUUGUGUGUUCUGUUACUUAUACACUAAAUAAUUCCUACCUUACAGCUGCAUGUGCGGAAGGACUGGAGAACUGUAGGUUGUUGCCCUUGUUAUCAGGAGUUUCAGGUUGUUUUCCUGAAUCUUUGAGCUCCGAGUAGGAGAAGAUGCCUUCAUAGGCAAUGAAUGCUAUGAUUUUACAAAUGUUGUGUAAGUUUAAAAUCUCAGUUUUUCUUUAUUGUGGUAAGUUGUUCAUUCACCAGAUAUUCAGUCAAUUUCUACCAUGUGUCAAGAAAUGUGUGAGCAGUAGAGAUGGAAUAAGACAUAGUCCUAUCCUUAAUGCUUGUGCAGUUGCUGUUGCUUCACCCAGUCUCUGUUGAAAGUAACAAUGUUGCUUGUUAAGACAUAAAUGAAUUUUUUAAGAGGAAAAUCAUUCAUUGUUCUGAUAAGUUUAUAAAGCGCCGCAACUAUAUAUCACUCUCUGAAACAGAGUUCUGAGAAGUCCUAUAGCUAAAAAAGAAAACUAAACAAAAACCCAACUCUAUUCAGCUUUAUUAAAUCAAGCAUUUCCAGAACUUUUCUAAUCACAGAAACCUUUAUCCGAACACAUUGAGAUGUCCCUGAAUUCUCCUAAUGAAUACAGUAAAUUAUUUAGCACCACAAUGUUUUGGGAUGGCUUAGUUCUUGGUUGAAGGUUGAAUUGUUACUGGAAAUAAUCUAUGUGAUGAUAUAAAUUAUCAAGGGACUUUUUUUUCUGAUCUUGAGUUAGUCUCAAAUAAUAGCAUGAGGACUAUCGAUACCAAAGUGCUAUCCUGAGAUUUCAGCACUGCUAGGUAAUUGCAAAGAGGAUUGCAGUGGUGCUUAAGCACGUGUCUGCUUGCAGAUCAUUCAAUUAGUCUUUGCCUGGAACUUCUGAAAAUCUUUAUUUCCAAGUCUUUGACAUCUGUCAUAAGCAUCACUUGAAAUGCUAAAUUAGAGCCACUCUAUCUGAUAAGAUCUAAGUCUCCUUCUCUAAAACUUUUUCUAUUAAAUUUCUCUGAAAUAAAUUCUGAGCAUACAAGGGCUUUCACUGAUAAUGACUCCUUAUCAAAUAUUAAUAUUAUUAUUAAUCUGCUCUUGGCUCCUUUUUGUAACUCUUCUCUCAAGGGCCUUUAUUUGCGGUAUAGGAAAGCGCCAGUAUCUAGUGGCAGCUCCACUGCAUGAAAGCACAUUUUCAUCUCAGCUUAUUCCUUUGAUGUGUGUAUGUUUUCCAGUCGCAUUUAGCAUUUUAGCAUAAUGUUUUGUUGUCAGGCCAUGGGUAAAAAGUAUUUUGAUGUAUAUAAGGCAAAAAAUUAGUAAUUUCUUAGAAUAAUGAUGGGGGUUUUAAAAUGUUAUUCUUGGAAGUCAAUUUGGCAAUAUUUUUCAAUAGUCACAAGAUAUAUAGUGUUUGAUCAAACAAUUUCACUACUAAGAAUGUAUCCAGUGGAUAUCCUCAUAAAAAGAAGCCCUCAUGAUAAUGUAUAACAAUCGUCAUUGCAGCUUUGUCCUCCUACAAGGCAUUCAACAAAUGACUGCUGGUACAUCCAUGCAACUGAAUACCAGUCAGCCAUUAAUAAGUAUAAAUAUAUCUGCAUGGGAAGAUCUUCAGCAUAGACCAGUAUACUGUAUACCAGGAACUGGAAAAAUGAUGCCAAGUGGUUUAUACGGAAUAUCUUCUUAAAAGUAAUAACAGUAACAAAAAGGUAAUACACACAUACAUAUGCAUACGGUGUAUCUGUUUACAUACCUUUUUGUUUGUUUUCUGAAACUCUGCGCAAGAACUCUUGGCUUUGUUUUCCUUGAGGAUAGGGACCAAUUGGCUUGUAAUUUGCUUUUUAUAUUUUUCUGUAUUGUUCGGAAUUUCAAACCAAUUGCAUUUAUUACUCUUUUUGGUCAGUGUGAGGUAUCUGGAUGAUGUGAUUUGGGGUCUUUUUUUUGUAAAUGUCAAAUGAGAUAACACAUGUCAAAAGUCUAGAGCAGUGCUAAUAUUGAUAUUGUUUCAAAGUGGUUUUUAAAAAUCAGUGCUAUGAAGAAAUAAUAAUAAGGGCACCGGGGGAGAUAAAAGGCAUAUCCUAGAAAGUCAGAGGAGUGCACUAGGGAAAAAUAAGAGAAAAAGGGUCUGUUUGGGGGAUGUGGGAAAGGAUGGCUGGUUUUAAUUUUAUUAACUUCACUUUCUUCAAGUUUUGUUCUCUCUGUAAACAUUAUUUGUACUUUUUUGUUUUUAUUCUUUGGCUUCUUUAUUAGAUUAUCUCUCUACUCUGUGCUAUUCCAUUUCCUCCCACUCCCAACUAUUGGUCUGUGUGGUUCUUUGUUGUCCUCUUUUCUGGUAGGGUCACAGUAGGAGCGGGGCUUUGGGUAUCGUUAUCAAAGUCAACAUCAGUGUCUAUCCUGUUCUUAUCACUGACCAGCCACAGGGGUGAUGUCCUCCAACAGCCUAAUAUCUGAACCACCUCAAAUGUGUAUUUCUUCUAGUCAAGUCAACUAAUUCUGACAUUCUCUAUUUUUGUACUAGGAGACAGUGAAUUGCUAGGGUUUUUUUUGUUGUUGUUUGUUUCAAAAAAUAGUAUAAAAUUGCUUAACCAUUGAUAUUAUUGGAAAAUGUAAAGUAUUGCAUGAUAGCAGAAGUAUUGACUUGCAGGAAAUCAUUGCGGUUUACUUAUUGUCUUGGCUAUCUAAUUUAAUUUACCAAGCAUAGCUCCCCUAAUGUGCAGUUGUGCAAUUGAACAGCUGAGGCCCACACAGUUAACCAAAAUGACGAAUUUCUAUCCAACUAAAAUCACAACAAAGAGCUGUAAAAUACACAUUUCCCCUGUGACAUUGUAAGUUCCUUAAUGCUCAAAUGCUUAAUAUCCCACUAUUUCUGUGAUUUUUCCUAUCUGACUAGCUGGCAAACCAAGGAAAGCCAAAAAACUUUGUAGACUGACAUGGAGGAUUAUUGUAAAUAUUUCCCCAUCUAUAAGAGGAAAACUAUUCAACUCUGAUUCUGGUCCCUGUUGGCUUUUCUCUAUCACUAAGUCUAAAGUUGGGGAAUGAAAUUACACACAGAUAAAUAGAUUAUUAUAGAAGUUAUCUUUGACCACUCAAUUAACUUGUAAAGCUCGAUGUCCAUGAGACCACAGCUCCACACGUGAGGCACAGUCAAUUUGGUGAGAGAAUGGGUUUCAUUGGCAUGGAUUCAUUUUCCAAUCUGAUAAAUGAAAGGGUGUGACUAAUUGAUAAAGUGAUGAUAGCCAGUUUUUAAUAUUAGUCAGAAUUUACAAUUGGAAAAGAAAUAUUGUGUUCAACACAUGUUCAGUGUGAGAUUAAAAAUGGCAUAUAGAACCACUAUAUAUAGAUAUAUAUAUACCACUUUUAGUAUAUAUAUAGUAUAUACUAAAAAGCAGUGUGUGUGUGUGUGUGUGUAUAUAUAUAUACACACACACACACCAAAAGUGGUAUAUAUAUAGUGGUCCUAUAUACACUUGUCAUAUAUAUAUGUGUGUAUGUGUGUAUUCAUACACACACAUGCAUGCACACACCACUUUGUAUAUGACCACAAAUAAAUAUUAGAAAGAAUAUUAAAAAGAUAAGUCUGUCUUAGUAUUUCAUUUUAGCCUUAUCUUUUAUUAAUGUAUGGUGUGCAAUAACAAAUCACAAUAACCAGUGUAUAUUGAGUGAUGUAAUAUAUUAUGCUGAAGUUCUUUCAUUAUGCCAUCUCAUUGAUUCUCACCUUAAUGUUGGCUUUAUUUUAAAGCUGCAUUUGAAAGCAAAAUCUGCCACAGUCCACCCAUCUAGUAAAUGACAGAGCUGGGAUUGGAAACCAGGCUAGAAUAUCCUUGUGUAUAAAUCAGUAAUCAUGAUAAACAAGAGAUUGGUCAGGGAAACAUUUUGGUUGGAAUAGAAGGAGAGAGAGUCCAGUAUGUAAAAUAUGAUUUUGCUAUUUUAGUUGAAAAUUGUAGGUUUGUAGAAUAUCGGACACCCAUGCUUAAAUAUGAGUACGGCCUAGUUUUUGCUGUUCCUUUUUCUUUCAGAAAUUUGAUAUUCAAAAUUAAUUCACAAAUGAGAGCUUCUCCACGUUUUUACUUAAUUCAGUUUCUUCACACAUUUGUAGACAAUACACACUUCAAGCAUGUAUGGUGCUAAAUUACAUAUUUUUGUGAAAGUUUUUAGGCUGGGCACGGUGGCUCAUGCCUGUAAUCCCAGCACUUUGGGAGGCCGAGACAGGUGGAUCACCUGAGAUCAGAAGUUCGAGACCAGCCUGACCAAUGUGGAGAAACCCCAUCUCUACUAAAAAUACAAAAUUAACUGGGCGUGGUGGUGCAUGCCUGUAAUCCCAGCUACUUGGGAGGCUGAGGCAGGAGAAUCACUUGAACCCAGGAGGCAGAGGUUGCAGUGAGCCGAGAUAAUGCCGCUGCACUAUAGCCUGGGAGCCUGGGCAACAAGAGCAAAACUCCAUCUCAAAAAAAAAAAAAAAA
RNAcentral lists this long non-coding RNA (5438 nucleotides) under Macaca fascicularis (crab-eating macaque). RNAcentral describes it as "lncRNA (ENSMFAG00000055493.1)". The record is from RNAcentral. Lineage: Eukaryota; Metazoa; Chordata; Mammalia; Primates; Cercopithecidae.